AGUGAACGCUGGCGGCGUGCUUAACACAUGCAAGUCGAACGAGAACGGGUUAUAGCUUGCUAUAAUUGUCAGCUAAGUGGCGCACGGGUGAGUAAUGUAUAGGUAAUAUGCCUCUUACUAAGGGAUAACAAUUGGAAACGACUGCUAAUACCUUAUACUCCUUAUUAACAGAAGUUAAUAAGGGAAAGAUUUAUUGGUAAGAGAUUAGCCUGUAUUGUAUCAGUUAGUUGGUGGGGUAAUGGCUUACCAAGACUAUGACACAUAACUGGUUUGAGAGGAUGAUCAGUCACACUGGAACUGAGACACGGUCCAGACUCCUACGGGAGGCAGCAGUGGGGAAUAUUGCACAAUGGACGAAAGUCUGAUGCAGCAACGCCGCGUGGAGGAUGACACAUUUCGGUGCGUAAACUCCUUUUAUAUGAGAAGAUAAUGACGGUAUUAUAUGAAUAAGCACCGGCUAACUCCGUGCCAGCAGCCGCCGUAA
This 484-nucleotide ribosomal RNA is filed under the name uncultured bacterium. RNAcentral describes it as "partial 16S ribosomal RNA". It matches the Rfam family "Bacterial small subunit ribosomal RNA", at positions 29 to 523 of the family's 1533-position model. The record is from RNAcentral.